RNAcentral lists this long non-coding RNA (2203 nucleotides) under Paramuricea clavata. The record is from RNAcentral. Lineage: Eukaryota; Metazoa; Cnidaria; Anthozoa; Malacalcyonacea; Plexauridae.
GGACCACUUCUUUUCUUAUGAGCCGAAAGUUUGUUUGCGGAGUUCCUAAAUCCUGACAGGAAUUGUAAUGUGAGUUUCAACUCAAAUCUUAGGUUUAAUCCAAUCACUCCGGGCCUCUAUACUGAACUUAGAAGAUUGCGGAGGCCGAGGGACGUGAUCGGGUCAAAUGGGAGCUGCGAUUUGCCUAUUUUUCACUGGGGAAUGGGGAUUUGGACCGCUGCGACGGGGGAUUUGCGCCAGAUUUGUAUGUGGGCCUUAUAUAGUAAGUUGGCCGAAAGCUGCCGAACAUGUACAAUAACAUUUAACUGAUAUCUGAUCUUAAUUUAUAGAGGGUAUCUGUCCUUAUGGUCAGUUGCCAAUCCUUGAGUUUGAUGAUGUUGUUCUGGCACAGAGUAUGGCCAUCCUGCGAUAUCUGGCCAGAGAGUACGGUUAGUAUAUGUAGGAUGAUUUAUUUCGCAAGUUAAAUAAAUAAGUGGAGAUCAAAAUGCAAACCACUUGUCCUCUAAAAAAUGUUGUUAAAAUUCUGAGUUUUAACUGAGUCAGCCGUUGUCCCGUCUUUGCCAACGUUCUCGCUAACAUGCCAUCAUGGUACAAUAGGGACCUUAAGAUGUAGGACGGCAAAGCGACGACAACGGCCAAAAGGCCCAAAACAAAUUCACCCAAAUAUAUUAUUGUAAUGAAAUCUUAUCGUAUGAAUUUAACACAGCUUGGAGAGAUCAAAACAGAGGCUUUUUAUUGAGUAGAGUUCCACAUUAGUAUACUGGACCAAUUUGCUGAGUAUCCGCCAAGUUAUGUACUAAAAUGCAAAGGUUGUACACAGAACGUAAAAACUCUGGUUCAUUUCGUUGUCGUCACGUUGCCGUCCUAGAUCUUAAGGUCCCUAAUAAACCAAGCGCAACUGCCCUGAUAGGAAGCUCAGAUCACAACACAGUUUUAUGGUACCCAAAAGCCGCAACCAAUAUACAGGGUGUAUAAAAGCUAUACACAGUUGGAAAAAGUUCACUAAAGUCAGAUGCGCGAGACAUUUGCGAAAACGUUCAGUAAGCCUAUGCACUUUAACGCUCUCUGCAUGGUACAUCUAGCACUACUAAAUUAUUUAAAAUGCUAGCGCUUUUAGAGUAGGAAAGCUGUUACUAAAAAGCCCACAAAAAAGGCCUUGCGCAAAAAAUUUUUUCAUCAGAAACAAAAUUUAAUCACACAGAGUCAAAAUAUGGACUGUCUUGCACAAGCUAUCAAAGUUUCAAGAAAUUUGGUGCACGCGUAGUCCAACGCGAGAUCUUCAAAACCUGGAUUUUCUCCCAUUUUGUUAGUUCAAACGCGAUUUCUUUGCAUGAUUUCAAAUUAAUUUUAUGCAUGCUCGGACGUUUGCAUUAAUUACAGUACGAAAUUCAAAAGCCAAUUCCCAAAGGUCCUAAAGUUAUUAACAGCGUUUAUUUACAAAAUUAUUAACAUGUAGUGUUUAUUUACAAAUAAAAUCAAUCUUUAAUAACGUGCUCUCCUACGUUGAAGAUUGAUUUUGUUUGUAAAUAAAUACUGUUUGUAAAUAAUUUUGUGAAAGCACCUUCAGGAAUUGGCUUGCGAAUUUCGUGCUGUAAUUUAUGCGAACAUCCGAGCAUGCAUAAAAUCAAUAUGAAAUCAUGCAAAGAAAUCGCGUUUGAACUAACAAAAUGGGAGAAAAUCCAAGUUUUGAAGAUCUCGCUAUUUGGCCUACGCGUCCACGAAAUUUCUUGAAACUUUGAUAGCUUGUGCAAGACAGUCCAUAUUUUGACUCUGUGUGAUUAAACUUUGUUUCUGAUGAAUAUAUUGUUUUGCGCAAAAUUGCCUUGUACGCCGCUUUCCUCAGUCAAUACCAAUAAAUGCUUUAAUUUAAUCUAUAAAUAAACGCUCAUUAUAAAUUAUGUUUUGACUUGUGCAUCUAUUGAAUACGGAGCUUUAAUCAGAAUUCGGAGUGGUUACUUAUUAGGUAAUUUAUGGUAUUAAAUUUGAUUAUUUUGUAUUAGAUCUAUUUUUCCAAUCAAACAGGGUUUCUUCCAGAAACAAGUCUUGAAAUUGCCAUAGCUGACGGUAUUGUUGAUCAAAUACAGGAUUGUGUCCUUAGAGUUAUCAGGAUGUGGUUUACGAAAGAUCCAAAUGAAAAGGUAAUAAUAAAAUAAGUUUACGAUUUUAUUCAUUGAUUAAAAAUUGACAAUACGGUAUAUACGAG